GGGAAUGUGGCUUAGUGGUAGAGUGCUUGCCUAGCAUGCAUGAAGCCCUGGGUACGAGUCCUCAGUACCA
Molecule: non-coding RNA, 70 nt
Organism: Dipodomys ordii (Ord's kangaroo rat)
Lineage: Eukaryota; Metazoa; Chordata; Mammalia; Rodentia; Heteromyidae
Source: Rfam